This 661-nucleotide ribosomal RNA is filed under the name uncultured cyanobacterium. Its description in RNAcentral is "partial 16S ribosomal RNA". Lineage: Bacteria; Bacillati; Cyanobacteriota. The record is from RNAcentral.
GACUACAGGGGUAUCUAAUCCCUUUCGCUCCCCUAGCUUUCGUCCCUGAGUGUCAGUCUCGGCCCAGUAGUGCGCUUUCGCCACCGAUGUUCUUCCCAAUCUCUACGCAUUUCACCGCUACACUGGGAAUUCCCACUACCCCUACCGAACUCUAGCUCUUCAGUUUCCACCGCCUCUCCGUGGUUAAGCCACAGUCUUUGACAGCAGACUUGAAGUGCCACCUGCGGACGCUUUACGCCCAAUGAUUCCGGAUAACGCUUGCAUCCUCCGUAUUACCGCGGCUGCUGGCACGGAGUUAGCCGAUGCUUAUUCCUCAGGUACCGUCAGAACUUCUUCCCUGAGAAAAGAGGUUUACAACCCAAAGGCCUUCCUCCCUCACGCGGUAUUGCUCCGUCAGGCUUGCGCCCAUUGCGGAAAAUUCCCCACUGCUGCCUCCCGUAGGAGUCUGGGCCGUGUCUCAGUCCCAGUGUGGCUGCUCAUCCUCUCAGACCAGCUACUGAUCGUUGCCUUGGUAAGCUCUUACCCCACCAACUAGCUAAUCAGACGCGAGCUCCUCUUCAGGCGAAUUUCUUUCACCUCUCGGCACAUUGGGUAUUAGCAGUCGUUUCCAACUGUUGUCCCCAUCCUGAAGGCAGAUUCUCACGCGUUACUCACCCGUCCG